GGGAGGUUGUUGGUUCCUCUGUGGUCGUGAGGUUUGUUGUCAGAGGAGGGGAGGUUGUUGGUUCCUCUGUGGUCGUGAGGUUUGUUGUCAGAGGAGGGGAGGG
Oncorhynchus keta (chum salmon) is the source of this 103-nucleotide long non-coding RNA. RefSeq lists it as uncharacterized. The transcript has 3 exons. Lineage: Eukaryota; Metazoa; Chordata; Actinopteri; Salmoniformes; Salmonidae. The record is from RefSeq and is a predicted model, not a curated record.